UUACGGCCAUAUCACGUUGAAACACCGGUUCUCAUACGAUCACCGAAGUUAAGCAACGUCAAGUUUGGUCAGUACCUCGAUGGGUGACCGCUUGUGAAUAUUAGGUGCUGUAAG
Acanthosepion pharaonis is the source of this 114-nucleotide non-coding RNA. Lineage: Eukaryota; Metazoa; Mollusca; Cephalopoda; Sepiida; Sepiidae. The record is from the annotation of a GenBank genome assembly.